Molecule: non-coding RNA, 44 nt
Filed under: Prorocentrum micans
Lineage: Eukaryota; Dinophyceae; Prorocentrales; Prorocentraceae
Source: RNAcentral
UGUUUUUUUUUUUUUUUUUUUUUUGCCUUCCGCUUCUCCAUCUG